AAGAGACAGCAGCAGCCGCGGUAAUACGGAGGGUGCAAGCGUUAUCCGGAUUUAUUGGGUUUAAAGGGUCCGUAGGCGGAUCUGUAAGUCAGUGGUGAAAUCUCACAGCUUAACUGUGAAACUGCCAUUGAUACUGCAGGUCUUGAGUAAAUUUGAAGUGGCUGGAAUAAGUAGUGUAGCGGUGAAAUGCAUAGAUAUUACUUAGAACACCAAUUGCGAAGGCAGGUCACUAAGAUUUAACUGACGCUGAUGGACGAAAGCGUGGGGAGCGAACAGGAUUAGAGACCCCCGUAGUCCCUGUCUCUUAUAC
RNAcentral lists this ribosomal RNA (310 nucleotides) under uncultured bacterium. Its description in RNAcentral is "partial 16S ribosomal RNA". It matches the Rfam family "Bacterial small subunit ribosomal RNA", at positions 503 to 807 of the family's 1533-position model. The record is from RNAcentral.